AUUUCGACAUGCAGCACAAAAACUAAAAUCCAUAACAAUUUCUCAAUCCAUCAUUCAAGUUUUAAACAAUUGAAACUCAAUUCCAAAUGCAUACAACUUCUGUUCAACACUACAACUAGCUUUAAGAACCAAAAAACAUAACGUGCAUCAACCAAUAACAACUUGAAUUUGUUACAUGCAUAAACCCAUCAACAAAGACUUAUUCUCUUUGGAAAGUUAAAAUCUUGUACUUUUCUUUAUUCAAGCAUAAGGAAUCGGGCUAUUAAGAGAAGAUUAAGUUCACAUGUAAGAGAAACUAUUUACCUCUUUGAAGUUUUAACUCCUAUAACUUGAUUUAUGCAAGAACUUCCCCUUGAAAUCACUUAACUCUCAUAUAUACUCUAGUACUAAAGAAAACAUUUAAAUUUAUCAAAAUUUAUCCAAAAAGAGAAAAUCACAGGAGAGAGUUGAAGUUUGGAGUGUCA
This 464-nucleotide unclassified non-coding RNA is filed under the name Hevea brasiliensis (rubber tree). The record is from RNAcentral. Lineage: Eukaryota; Viridiplantae; Streptophyta; Magnoliopsida; Malpighiales; Euphorbiaceae.